RNAcentral lists this transfer RNA (71 nucleotides) under Candidatus Kerfeldbacteria bacterium CG_4_10_14_0_8_um_filter_42_10. Its description in RNAcentral is "tRNA-Ile". It matches the Rfam family "tRNA". From Rfam's summary of the family: Transfer RNA (tRNA) molecules are approximately 80 nucleotides in length. Their secondary structure includes four short double-helical elements and three loops (D, anti-codon, and T loops). The record is from RNAcentral. Lineage: Bacteria; Candidatus Kerfeldiibacteriota.
GGGACUCAGAUGGUUAGAGCGCGUCACUGAUAAUGACGAGGUCGAUGGUUCGACUCCAUCGUCGCCCACCA